UGGGGAAUUUUGGACAAUGGGCGAAAGCCUGAUCCAGCAAUGCCGCGUGUGUGAAGAAGGCCUUCGGGUUGUAAAGCACUUUUGUCCGGAAAGAAAUCCUUGGCUCUAAUACAGUCGGGGGAUGACGGUACCGGAAGAAUAAGCACCGGCUAACUACGUGCCAGCAGCCGCGGUAAUACGUAGGGUGCAAGCGUUAAUCGGAAUUACUGGGCGUAAAGCGUGCGCAGGCGGUUUGCUAAGACCGAUGUGAAAUCCCCGGGCUCAACCUGGGAACUGCAUUGGUGACUGGCAGGCUAGAGUAUGGCAGAGGGGGGUAGAAUUCCACGUGUAGCAGUGAAAUGCGUAGAGAUGUGGAGGAAUACCGAUGGCGAAGGCAGCCCCCUGGGGCCAAUACUGACGCUCAUGCACGAAAGCGUGGGGGAGCAAAACAGGAUUAGAUACCCCUGGGUAGUCCACGCCCCUAAACGAUGUCAACUAGUUGUUGGGGAUUCAUUUUCCUUAGUAACGUAGCUAACGCGUGAAGUUGACCGCCUGGGGAGUACGGUCGCAAGAUUAAAACUUAAAUGAAUUGACGGGGU
RNAcentral lists this ribosomal RNA (578 nucleotides) under uncultured bacterium. RNAcentral describes it as "partial 16S ribosomal RNA". It matches the Rfam family "Bacterial small subunit ribosomal RNA", at positions 355 to 919 of the family's 1533-position model. The record is from RNAcentral.